GGUUAAGCGACUAAGCGUACACGGUGGAUGCCCUGGCAGUCAGAGGCGAUGAAGGACGUGCUAAUCUGCGAUAAGCGCCGGUAAGGUGAUAUGAACCGUUAUAACCGGCGAUUUCCGAAUGGGGAAACCCAGUGUGAUUCGUCACACUAUCAUUAACUGAAUCCAUAGGUUAAUGAGGCGAACCGGGGGAACUGAAACAUCUAAGUACCCCGAGGAAAAGAAAUCAACCGAGAUUCCCCCAGUAGCGGCGAGCGAACGGGGAGGAGCCCAGAGCCUGAAUCAGCAUGUGUGUUAGUGGAAGCGUCUGGAAAGGCGCGCGAUACAGGGUGACAGCCCCGUACACAAAAGCGCAUGUGCUGUGAGCUCGAUGAGUAGGGCGGGACACGUGGUAUCCUGUCUGAAUAUGGGGGGACCAUCCUCCAAGGCUAAAUACUCCUGACUGACCGAUAGUGAACCAGUACCGUGAGGGAAAGGCGAAAAGAACCCCGGCGAGGGGAGUGAAAAAGAACCUGAAACCGUGUACGUACAAGCAGUAGGAGCACAGGUUUACCUGUGUGACUGCGUACCUUUUGUAUAAUGGGUCAGCGACUUAUAUUCUGUAGCAAGGUUAACCGAAUAGGGGAGCCGCAGGGAAACCGAGUCUUAACCGGGCGUUAAGUUGCAGGGUAUAGACCCGAAACCCGGUGAUCUAGCCAUGGGCAGGUUGAAGGUUGGGUAACACUAACUGGAGGACCGAACCGACUAAUGUUGAAAAAUUAGCGGAUGACCUGUGGCUGGGGGUGAAAGGCCAAUCAAACCGGGAGAUAGCUGGUUCUCCCCGAAAGCUAUUUAGGUAGCGCCUCGUGAACUCAUCUCCGGGGGUAGAGCACUGUUUCGGCUAGGGGGCCAUCCCGGCUUACCAACCCGAUGCAAACUGCGAAUACCGGAGAAUGUUAUCACGGGAGACACACGGCGGGUGCUAACGUCCGUCGUGAAGAGGGAAACAACCCAGACCGCCAGCUAAGGUCCCAAAGUCAUGGUUAAGUGGGAAACGAUGUGGGAAGGCCCAGACAGCCAGGAUGUUGGCUUAGAAGCAGCCAUCAUUUAAAGAAAGCGUAAUAGCUCACUGGUCGAGUCGGCCUGCGCGGAAGAUGUAACGGGGCUAAACCAUGCACCGAAGCUGCGGCAGCGAACGUAUCACUUAAAGCGAUUCAGCGGGUUACGAUUGACGGAGCGAAGCGACGUCAAAGCGUAUACAAAGUCGAGUCGGUUUAAGGAUACGUUCGUUGGGUAGGGGAGCGUUCUGUAAGCCUGUGAAGGUGUGUCGUGAGGCAUGCUGGAGGUAUCAGAAGUGCGAAUGCUGACAUAAGUAACGAUAAAGCGGGUGAAAAGCCCGCUCGCCGGAAGACCAAGGGUUCCUGUCCAACGUUAAUCGGGGCAGGGUGAGUCGACCCCUAAGGCGAGGCCGAAAGGCGUAGUCGAUGGGAAACGGGUUAAUAUUCCCGUACUUGGUGUUACUGCGAAGGGGGGACGGAGAAGGCUAUGUUGGCCGGGCGACGGUUGUCCCGGUUUAAGCGUGUAGGUGUGUGUUCCAGGUAAAUCCGGUUCACUUUAACACUGAGGCGUGACGACGAGGCACUACGGUGCUGAAGCAACAAAUGCCCUGCUUCCAGGAAAAGCCUCUAAGCAUCAGGUAACAUCAAAUCGUACCCCAAACCGACACAGGUGGUCAGGUAGAGAAUACCAAGGCGCUUGAGAGAACUCGGGUGAAGGAACUAGGCAAAAUGGUGCCGUAACUUCGGGAGAAGGCACGCUGACAUGUAGGUGAAGUGAUUUACUCA
This 1820-nucleotide ribosomal RNA is filed under the name Salmonella enterica. RNAcentral describes it as "partial 23S ribosomal RNA". It matches the Rfam family "Bacterial large subunit ribosomal RNA", at positions 1 to 1773 of the family's 2925-position model. The record is from RNAcentral. Lineage: Bacteria; Pseudomonadati; Pseudomonadota; Gammaproteobacteria; Enterobacterales; Enterobacteriaceae.